ACCUGGCUGGCUCAGUCGGUGGAGCGUGUGACUCUUGAUCUUGGGGUUGUGAGUUCAAAUCCCACACUGGGUG
RNAcentral lists this transfer RNA (73 nucleotides) under Ailuropoda melanoleuca (giant panda). It matches the Rfam family "tRNA". From Rfam's summary of the family: Transfer RNA (tRNA) molecules are approximately 80 nucleotides in length. Their secondary structure includes four short double-helical elements and three loops (D, anti-codon, and T loops). Further hydrogen bonds mediate the characteristic L-shaped molecular structure. tRNAs have two regions of fundamental functional importance: the anti-codon, which is responsible for specific mRNA codon recognition, and the 3' end, to which the tRNAs corresponding amino acid is attached (by aminoacyl-tRNA synthetases). tRNAs cope with the degeneracy of the genetic code in two manners: having more than one tRNA (with a specific anti-codon) for a particular amino acid; and 'wobble' base-pairing, i.e. permitting non-standard base-pairing at the 3rd anti-codon position. Lineage: Eukaryota; Metazoa; Chordata; Mammalia; Carnivora; Ursidae. The record is from Rfam by way of RNAcentral.